AAGGGACCUGUGGAUCAAUGAAAAGGAGAUUAUAGUGUAUCUGAAUAUUAAUACGGUAUUGCAUCUGUACUUCCACCCCUCCCCCCUUUCUUUUUCUUCAGAUCUGCAGAAUUGAAAUGAAAUGUUUUGAGCUCUUCAAGCUGACUCGUCAGAAUCCUGGAGCCUUUUAAAAAAUGACGAAUUGGAAGGAAAAAUUACUUUAUCAAUAACCAGGCUCCACCAGGAUUGACCUAGAUGGUUGUUCCUGGCACUUGUCAUUCUCAGCAAGCACAGCUCAGAGAACAAAUACAAAAGACCCAAAGUGCAUUGCAUCUUUUAUGGAAGUGCCCAAUGUGGAAAUCAUAGAUUUCAAGGAAGGAACAAGAAAAUUGAUGAAACAAGUUCAAAAGAAAGGUACCUGUGCCUCAUCAUUCCUAAAGAACACUGAUCAAUGAUCCCAGAAGUAUGCCAUGUUCUCUUAAUUCAUCAGAGACUGAAAGCAAAGGAAAAUCAAGAAAUAAGCUUGGCCAAUUUGAUGUCAAUGGAAAUGCGUGAGAUUUUUAUUCAGCAUUCACACCUGAGCAAUGCUUUUGGUCAUGAUGUCAUACUAAGAAGAAACCACCUGAGAUGAGACUGUUAGAUGUUCAGAGCAAACAAAAACAAAAACAGACCAACAAAAAAAACCCAAAACAAAACAGAAGUUUCUGAAGGACAGCAGAAAUGGUAAGUUUUUUCCAUGGUGCAAGACACUAAAUGGAAAGUAACCUUCUCUUGGGAGCUACACCUAGGUAGACCUAGUCAUGUGAACCAGUGAUGAUAGCAACAGAUGAAGAUUCUGGAUGGGGAAAGUAAGGCUUGAAAAUUUUGGAUAUGUCUGUUAUUAAAAUGUAAGCCUCUUUUGACAUUGGAGUAGCAAGAGGGGGUAAGUAGAAUUGUUAGCCUUUUAAAAUAUUCCUCAUUAAGAGGAUUUUUUAAAAACCCAAUUUUUGGUGUUAAAAUCCAAGACACUCUGGAAGGUGGCUUAUUUCAGUUGGAAAGAUAGUAAGCUGGUUUUCAGGGCCCAAGUAGACAGUAUAUUUUGGAAUCCUGAGGUCUGUUAUUUCUAACAUGCAUGGAUAGCAUUGACAAAUUCUCUUCUGACUGAAAAUCUAAGUUGCUGAUGUUUUUGAUGGUUAUUUAUUUCUUAUCGCAAUUCACAUUGGAAUUUUCCUAAAGGUUUUUUAUGUCUUCAUUUAUUUGUUUUAGUAUAAUGGUUCUUAUCUGAUUAAUUAUAUUUUUUCCUAGAAUUAAAAUAAGAUUAUAUUUAUCUCAGAAAGGCAAAGAAUGAGUAAAUAUUUAACCUAGAACACAUGAUUUGUUUAUUUUAAAAGUCUAUUGAUCUUUAUCGUUAUUCUUUUUAACAAUGUGUCAGAACUAGGCUAUGUUGAGAUGGGAAAAUUCAUUUAUAAUUUUAAAACAAUUGCUUCUCUAAGUAAAAAUGUUUCUCUUUUUUCUCUUUAAAAUUAGUAGUUUGGGUUUAGCUGGCAUUCUCAUGACUUACAUAAUAUUUAUAUGUUUAAAAUAAGGGUAUGCUUGGGAGCAUGAGAUCUGAUUCUUAGGUUGGGGACUGUAACAGUAACUCCUAUUUAUGUCUCUGUUUUAAAAUCAGAUCUAUUGUAUACAAAGAAGAAUUUUUAUAGGUAAUAGCAGAAAUGUUAAUAGAUCUUAAAGUUUUAAUUUUAAAAAUUAAUUAAAAAGAUAAAUGCCAUGAUAUUUAAGGACCUCUAUUUAAUAUGGUGCUUUUGUCUUAAAUUGUUGAUGUUCACACUGUCCUUGCAGAAUUUUAUUGCAUUCAGGAACAUUUGUGAAUUUUCUUUUAUCUAAGAAGAAUGUGUUAUAUUUCAGUGAAUUAUAGGUGGCAGUAUACACAGCUAAAUUCCAUGUGUUACUGCAGGUAGACAGAAGAUUUUUCAAUUGUUUAACAAUUUUAUAUUUAAGCUUAUUGUCAUUCUAGCCCCGUUUCUUAACCACCUCCUGUUUUUGGUCUUAAUAUAAGAACACCAGAUAGCCUUCCUUUGAUAAGAGAAUGCUGGUGAGAAGUAUUUUGAAUCUCAAGUUUAUUCUGAAUGUUAGUUAAGAUGCAUUUAAAAAAUUUUGCUAAAUAAAGAUACAUUAGAAAGAGUAUAAAACUCAUUGACCGCUUGAUUUAAUAUUAAAAUGAGAAUUUAAAACUAAAUGAACUCUUAAAAUUACAUAUCAAGCCAAUGACAGAGAAUUUUUUAUUCUGUCUCUUUCAUUUUCUGUUUUAAAAGUUACAAGCAAAUAUGCUUUGACUGCUAAGUUGUGAAAAUACAAUACUUUUCUGAUUUAUUAUCCUGAAGUAUGAUACCUAUCUAUGAGAAAGUUAAGUACAAAAUUGCUGUUCUUUAUGCCUGAUAUACACCCUGAAAGUAUUAUAUUCACGAGAAUGAUGAGAAAAUUAUAUAUGGUAUCAAGAAAGAGAAUAAACCUUAAAUUGAUGAUCGAUAGC
This is a long non-coding RNA of Homo sapiens (human), 2488 nucleotides long. Ensembl annotates it as PCDH10 divergent transcript. Its record names the gene PCDH10-DT. Lineage: Eukaryota; Metazoa; Chordata; Mammalia; Primates; Hominidae. The record is from Ensembl.